This 253-nucleotide ribosomal RNA is filed under the name uncultured bacterium. RNAcentral's name for it is "partial 16S ribosomal RNA". It matches the Rfam family "Bacterial small subunit ribosomal RNA", at positions 793 to 1055 of the family's 1533-position model. The record is from RNAcentral.
GUCCACGCCGUAAACGAUGGAUACUAGCUGUUGGGGCAACUUCAGUGGCUAAGCGAAAGUGAUAAGUAUCCCACCUGGGGAGUACGUUCGCAAGAAUGAAACUCAAAGGAAUUGACGGGGCCCGCACAAGCGGUGGAGCAUGUGGUUUAAUUCGAUGAUACGCGAGGAACCUUACCAAGGCUUAAAUGUAGACUGACCGGUUUGGAAACAGACCUUUCGCAAGACAGUUUACAAGGUGCUGCAUGGUUGUCGU